RNAcentral lists this long non-coding RNA (4109 nucleotides) under Equus caballus (horse). RNAcentral describes it as "lncRNA (ENSECAG00000043662.2)". Lineage: Eukaryota; Metazoa; Chordata; Mammalia; Perissodactyla; Equidae. The record is from RNAcentral.
CCCGGGGCGGCGCCCCUCCGCCCGGCCGCGCUCCAGGCCCAGAUGCCGGACGCCGCGCUCAGGACACAGACCCCACUCUGCAGCAGCCUGCCGCUGCCGGCAGCCAGGGCCUCCUUCCAACUCCAGCGCAAAUUUUUCGAACGUAAGAGAAGAAUACAGUCAUUAUCGGAGGUGGAGACAUUCAGAAGUUGUUCUUAAUCAGAGUGAAGCUUGUGCUUUGGAAAGUCAGCCUCACGCCUCAGCACGCACAGCAGCUGGUUCUCCAGGUUCCUCCUGGAUGAAGAAUUAGUUUCCAGCCCCCCUUUACCCUCUGACAAGUUGGAAGGAUACGUCAGCAUCUCUUAAAAGACUAGGAAGGUCAGAUUGGGGAGGGGUAUGAGCAAAUCCUCUCUACCAAUAUGAAUUUUUGUGAAAUUCACACAAAACGGGAGGAGGUCAACAAGCUGUGGGUCCUGAAGGUUUUUUGCAUAUCUGGGUAGGAGGUUUGACCUCAAGAGAUUUCUGCUGUACACUUUUGUAACUGGUUUGACAUAUUUCGGCUCCAACUUUGCAUCCUGAGAACACUUAAACGUUUCUGCAGGCUCAUUUUAUACAACCUGAAAGAGCUUAAAAGUUUCUGGUUGCCACAAGCAUAUCUUUCUUUUCUGCACAUCCAAGAGACAGCUGUGCCCUGCUGGGAUAGAUUUUCCAAACAAAAAUACCCGGAGCAGCAGUUUGGGAAAUAUGCCUUCAGCGGCGCUCCACAGAUGGGGUUUCCGGAAGCACAGUACUAGUAUUACUGUUUGCUUAUAAAUGGACGUAUUCACUGCACAAAGACAAAUGUUCUCAUGCUGAGCAGAAGAGAGAUCUGGUGUUGCCUGGUCCUGCCGGAGCCCUCCGGCCCAUCACCUCCUGCCAGCCUUCCAUGCGUACCUUGCCAUGAAAAGGGAAAGAAGCUGUUUCCAAAUUCGUGAUGAAUCUUACAAUCAAUGGUAUCUGCACAAGUGUCUGUACUUUCCAAAUACAUUGAAUAAGCUCCUUUUAACUUCUUUCUUUCUUUACUGAGACCCCACAAGAGAGUGUGUUAAUCACAUUAAUAUUAUUGGUACUAGAACCGUGACCUAAGCUUACAAGUCACCUUCAAACAAAUUUUAUGCAGCCAAGAAUUAGGCUUUAACUGCCACCAUAAAGCUUGCCUUAAGGGAAAACACUCUUGAUAAAAAUCUAAAUACACGCAAAUCAAAGAGUCUACUUUUCCACUGCAAUUAUUUGUCUCAGUUUCUCAGUAGUAACUAAUCUGCUAAUUAGAACUAACAAACCUUGGAUUCUGAAAUGGACUUCCAAAGUUUUUGUGCAACUAAAUGACCAGCAAUAAAGGACCUGGCUGUAAUUGCAAAGCUGAAUUAUUAACACAUGCUCUUCUUUUCUUUAUUCUGGAAAAUGUAAAGUUUUGCCCCAAUUUAGGAUGCCUAAUCAGCUGUUAUAAAAGUUUCUUGAUCAAAAAAUUGGUUUAUAUUUUGGAUUUUAUCUGAAAUAAUAUAAAUAUGACUUGGUAUAAUGAAAGAGUAAUGAUUGAAAUAAUUGACAUUAACCAUGAUUCCAUAGAUUUGAGGGUCUGCCUUGUUUUGUAAACCUGGUCAUCAAUUCUCCUGAACGUUAUCAGUUAAAAAACAGAAAAAAGAUAUGACCAUUUUACAAAGACAACUAUCCAACUAAGGACCUUGGGUUCUGAAUCAAAUGUCUCUCCUCCAGUAUAAGAAAGACCGAUCCAGGUAGAAGUGUCUGUAUGAAGAGACAUACAUAUAUAAAUUAAGAGACAUACAUAUAUAAAUGCUGUGAUUUUUGCUAUAUAUGUAAAUGUAAUAAAAACUGUAUCAUUCUUGGGGUAUCGUUAACCAUUAAAGUCCAAAUUCAGACUUGACCGAGUGAAGAGAAAUCGUAAGCAAUUAUCCAGCAGUGGGAAAAGACAGAACUCGGCACUGCAAAAUCUGGGGUGAAGUCCCUACUCAGUCCCUUAUUAACUCAGAGAACUUGGGUUAGUCACCUAAUCCCUCUAAGGCUCAUUUUCCACAUCUGUCAAUUAAGAAUAAUAUGUUGCUUGAGAGGGUGUUUGGGGAUUCAAAUGACAUAAUGGAAACGUAUAUACUUUGUAAAUUAUAAAAUGCUCUACAAAUGUUAUUUAAAGACAUUUAAAAAAAUAAAAUCUGAGACAACUUCCUGGCUGAGCAACGUUUUCAGGAAUUAUUUCAAUAAUCAGAAAGGAAACAGCACCAGAAAUUGAAUUUGGAGCAAUUAAGUAUGAGACAGUCACAAUCUGUGCCUACUCCCAAGGCUGGUAUACCUACUCCAGCAUCCCCGUGCCCUCUGACUGUGGAAGACCUCGGUUUCUUCACUCAUUCUCUGUCCUGGGUUCCUGAGGUGCAGAGAGAACUAACAGCCAAGGCAUCUCCCCUUCUGGAGCUAAUACGAGAGACACGAAUUAAUUAAAUAAUCACACGAAUACAUAUAAACAGUGACAAGCCUUUAAAGGAAGAGUUCACGGGGCUCUGCAUGUGAGAGAUGGACUUGAUCUAUUUUGGUGUUGUCAGGAAGCCUUCCUGAGGAAGUAACAUUUGGGCAAAAACAUGAAGGAUGAUUAGGCAAGAACUAGAUGAGGUUGUGGGGGGCACAGAGAAUGGUAGAAAUAUUCCAGGCAGAGGUAACUGCCUUAGCAAAGACCUUGAAAGAGAAAGAACUGAAAGGAGGAUGUUGAUAGAAGCUGAAUGUGGUGCAGUAGGAGAAGCAAGCAGAAGCCAGUCUUUAUCCAAGGGCAGAGAAGUGACAAGAGUACUUCUUUAAAAUAACACUGUGGAGAGUGAAUUGGAGGAUGGGAGGGCAAGGGGGAAUAAGAGUUAAGUUUGAUUAGUAUGAUAAGUUUGAUUGAAUGAGGGAAUUUGAUAGCUUCAAAUGGGUAGGGGUGACAUCCCAUAUCUAUGGAUGUCGAUUAAGAGAAAAAGUUUAGGAAUAAAUCUUGAGGGGCACCAACUUUAAAGGUCUCAAGAAAAGAGGAUAAGUCUAAAAAUAAGAGAUAGGAAGGUAGGAGGGACAUUAGGCGUCACAGAAAAAAAAUGCUGCUGAGUGGUCAAGUAAGAUGAAGACUGAAAAAAUGCUCAUUGCAUUUAGUGACAUGGAGGUCAUUAGCAGGAACUCUAUUGGAGGAGAGAUGGGGACAAAAGUCAGGUUGAAGAGCGAGGGGAAUAAGGAAGUGGGGUCAGUUUGUUUAAGCAAUUAGGUUUUAAAAAUUAGCAGUAAAAGAUCAUGGUAGCUGAGGGGAAGAUAAGCUGGGAAAUACUGGGAGACAUUUUAUUUACUCCUCAAAUCAUGAGAGUCAAUCCUUUAGUCUAUUAGUCCAGAAUUUCUUUCUUCCUUUAAUUUGGGGUGGUGUUGGUCCAUCCAGGCUAUAGCUUUGGGGAGUAUUUGAGGAGGAGCGCAGAGAUUGGACUAAUAUAUGUAGACUCCAAAAUCUAAAAUAUAAUCCUAAAUGGGUUAUUCAUUCACUCACUACCCACUGCCAACAAGCCCCACACCAGGGUUUACAGUUUCUGUAUUUUCUAAAAGCCACUCUCACUGCUUUGGUUCUGGAAGGAAAGGAAAAAAAAGAUGUAAUAUUUCUCCACAUAGAUCUGGGGCUUCCCUCUCAUUUGAAGACUUCUUUCCCCAAACAACUAUGCAAAACUAUGUCCUGUUCCCUCCAAUAUCUCUUGUGGGUCCAUCCCACCCAUCUCUGUUUUCACUGGCUUGGAAACUGUCCCUUCUCUAUAUUGGGGUCUAGACAGGUAUGGCCCCCAGGGACACCACUACUUUCUCUGUCCCAGGCAUCAUUACUCAUUCCUCCUCCCUUCGCUGCAGGGAGACUUGCCCCAAGCACCCAGCCGUUGGUCCGGUUAUGCUGGUCUGUGCUGUGGCUGAGCAAGAGGAGGUUCCAGCUUCUCUUGGCACUCAGUCAGUUCUCUACUGCCACUCACUGAUAAUAAACCACAUGCCGAGGGUUGGCAAUUGAUGCUUGUCUUACAGGCCCUGCUGAGACCAGCUGCCCAACACAGGUUCAACAUCUUCUUAUAGACUCUGCUGCCUCUUCUUGGAAGUUUUCU